Molecule: ribosomal RNA, 468 nt
Filed under: uncultured bacterium
Lineage: Bacteria
Description: partial 16S ribosomal RNA
Rfam family: Bacterial small subunit ribosomal RNA
Source: RNAcentral
GACGAACGCUGGCGGCGUGCUUAACACAUGCAAGUCGAACGGAAAGGCCCUGCUUUUGUGGGGUGCUCGAGUGGCGAACGGGUGAGUAACACGUGAGUAACCUGCCCUUGACUUUGGGAUAACUUCAGGAAACUGGGGCUAAUACCGGAUAGGAGCUCCUGCUGCAUGGUGGGGGUUGGAAAGUUUCGGCGUUUGGGGAUGGACUCGCGGCUUAUCAGCUUGUUGGUGGGGUAGUGGCUUACCAAGGCUUUGACGGGUAGCCGGCCUGAGAGGGUGACCGGCCACAUUGGGACUGAGAUGCGGCACAGACUGCUACGGGAGGCAGAAGUGGGGAAUCUUGCACAAUGGGCGGAAGCCUGAUGCAGCAACGCCGCGUGCGGGAUGACGGCCUUCGGGUUGUAAACCGCUUUCGCCUGUGACGAAGCGUGAGUGACGGUAAUGGGUAAAGAAGCCCCGGCUAAAUACGUG